RNAcentral lists this ribosomal RNA (264 nucleotides) under uncultured bacterium. Its description in RNAcentral is "partial 16S ribosomal RNA". It matches the Rfam family "Bacterial small subunit ribosomal RNA", at positions 793 to 1055 of the family's 1533-position model. The record is from RNAcentral.
GUCCACGCUGUAAACUAUGGAUGCUAGCUGUUACUCACAUCGACCUGAGUAGUAGCGAAGUUAACGCGUUAAGCAUCCCGCCUGGGGAGUACGGUCGCAAGAUUAAAACUCAAAGGAAUUGACGGGGACCCGCACAAGCGGUGGAGCGUGUUGUUUAAUUCGAUGGUAAGCGAAGAACCUUACCCAGGCUUGACAUCCUGCGAAGGCUUCCGAAAGGAAACUGUGCUUUCGAGAACGCAGUGACAGGUGAUGCAUGGCCGUCGU